UACGUAGGGUGCAAGCGUUAAUCGGAAUUACUGGGCGUAAAGCGUGCGCAGGCGGUUUUGUAAGACAGAGGUGAAAUCCCCGGGCUCAACCUGGGAACUGCCUUUGCGACUGCAAGGCUUGAGUGCGGCAGAGGGGGAUGGAAUUCCGCGUGUAGCAGUGAAAUGCGUAGAUAUGCGGAGGAACACCGAUGGCGAAGGCAAUCCCCUGGGCCUGCACUGACGCUCAUGCACGAAAGCGUGGGGAGCAAACAGG
This 253-nucleotide ribosomal RNA is filed under the name uncultured bacterium. Its description in RNAcentral is "partial 16S ribosomal RNA". It matches the Rfam family "Bacterial small subunit ribosomal RNA", at positions 524 to 776 of the family's 1533-position model. The record is from RNAcentral.